GCACACCAUGUUUUACAAAUUCAAAACCCACCUCUCAAACAAACACAAAGUGCUUUGCAAAUGCAAGAGAUGUCUAUCAAAAAUACAAUGUGUUUUGCAAAUAUAUAGCUAGCAAUGUAGUUAGUUACAUGUCUGCAAUGUGUAGCUAUCUGUGCGAUUGCAAGCACAAUGGCGACAGGGGCAAGGCUAAACUCCCUGUUAACAGGAAAGCUUGAGCAGAACUUGGGCACAUACACGUGUCUAAAUGAGUAUACUAGCGUACAUGUGGUAAAUGUACACAAUACAUACAAACAUAAGAUGGUAUAUACAUGAUAAAUACAAAAUUGAUAGUGGAUAAGGUGGGGGGAGAUUUUUCAAGUAUUGUAGAACAGCUUAGUGGGUAUACAGAGUGCUCGCGGGUUACUAUUAAAAGAGUAAAGUAAGUAGAGCAAUGGAACAGAAAACUAUGUCGAUGGUGGCAGUUAUUUACAUAGCAGGUAAAGCUAGCACAGAGUAUGGGGUAGAAUAAGUCCAUGACAGUGUGGUGAGGGUAGAUAGGUGUAGGCCGAGGGUUUCUGAAAGUAGAUCAUGUGGAGAGACUACAGCAGCAUCCCACAGCAAAGAUAGUCAAGGAUAGAAGGGGAAGGAAGAGACAAAUUGAGAGGGUAGAGUUCGGCUGCCAAAAUCUGCUAAAAUAUCUUGCAUAUAGGUACAUGUUGAAACCAUAUAAGUGUAACUGUACCACAGACUAUGCGAUACUGUGUGACACUACAGACUAUGCCUCAUGAGUAAUGGGAUAUGCUCAUUAUGGCAAGUCACUGUAUAAUGUAUAUCUUACAUGUACUUUACUGUAUAUACUCUACUAUACUAUACCGUACUAUACUCUGAUAUACUUUUUUGACUGACUUGAUUGAUUGAUUGAUUGAUUGGUUGGUUAAUGGAUGGAUGGAUGGAUGGAUGGAUGGAUGGAUAGAUUCACUUCGGGCCUGAUCGAUUGGCAACAUCUGACAAAAAAAGAGUAUGAAUUUAAUACAGGUCCCAUUCUCAAAAAUAUAAAAGCUAGAGCCUAAUAUAACCUGUCAUCGACUGCAUGUUUGUUUAGAGGAGAAAGGUUGAUUACUUUCAGACUUCCCAUGAGGAACCAGCAGUAUGAUGAGAUAUACUUCCUCCCUGAUAAAGUCACCUGCUAAACUCUGCCAAUGUCACAUUCAUCCCCAUCAUUAAGACUCAUAGGGUACAUAGCCCUUAUUCCAUAGCCCUGUAUGUUAUCUGUUAAACACCACGGUAGCACUUUUAAUUGAGCAUACGAGGCUUGUCCUCAGAAUGAAUGCCCAG
Clupea harengus (Atlantic herring) is the source of this 1314-nucleotide long non-coding RNA. Lineage: Eukaryota; Metazoa; Chordata; Actinopteri; Clupeiformes; Clupeidae. The record is from Ensembl.